Molecule: ribosomal RNA, 792 nt
Filed under: uncultured bacterium
Lineage: Bacteria
Description: bacterial SSU rRNA
Rfam family: Bacterial small subunit ribosomal RNA
Source: RNAcentral
AGAGUUUGAUCAUGGCUCAGAUUGAACGCUGGCGGCAGGCCUAACACAUGCAAGUCGAACGGUAACAGGAAGCAGCUUGCUGCUUUGCCGACGAGUGGCGGACGGGUGAGUAAUGUCUGGGAAACUGCCUGAUGGAGGGGGAUAACUACUGGAAACGGUAGCUAAUACCGCAUAACGUCGCAAGACCAAAGAGGGGGACCUUCGGGCCUCUUGCCAUCGGAUGUGCCCAGAUGGGAUUAGCUAGUAGGUGGGGUAAAGGCUCACCUAGGCGACGAUCCCUAGCUGGUCUGAGAGGAUGACCAGCCACACUGGAACUGAGACACGGUCCAGACUCCUACGGGAGGCAGCAGUGGGGAUAUUGCACAAUGGGCGCAAGCCUGAUGCAGCCAUGCCGCGUGUAUGAAGAAGGCCUUCGGGUUGUAAAGUACUUUCAGCGGGGAGGAAGGGAGUAAAGUUAAUACCUUUGCUCAUUGACGUUACCCGCAGAAGAAGCACCGGCUAACUCCGUGCCAGCAGCCGCGGUAAUACGGAGGGUGCAAGCGUUAAUCGGAAUUACUGGGCGUAAAGCGCACGCAGGCGGUUUGUUAAGUCAGAUGUGAAAUCCCCGGGCUCAACCUGGGAACUGCAUCUGAUACUGGCAAGCUUGAGUCUCGUAGAGGGGGGUAGAAUUCCAGGUGUAGCGGUGAAAUGCGUAGAGAUCUGGAGGAAUACCGGUGGCGAAGGCGGCCCCCUGGACGAAGACUGACGCUCAGGUGCGAAAGCGUGGGGGAGCAAACAGGAUUAGAUACCCUG